This 502-nucleotide ribosomal RNA is filed under the name uncultured bacterium. RNAcentral's name for it is "partial 16S ribosomal RNA". It matches the Rfam family "Bacterial small subunit ribosomal RNA", at positions 28 to 507 of the family's 1533-position model. The record is from RNAcentral.
GACGAACGCUGGCGGCGUGCCUAAUACAUGCAAGUCGAACGAACCGCGACUAAGUGCUUGCACUAAGUCAAGGUGAGUGGCGAACGGGUGAGUAACACGUGGGUAACCUACCUCAUAGUGGGGGAUAACAGUCGGAAACGACUGCUAAUACCGCAUAGGACAUAGGAUCACAUGAUCCAGUGAGGAAAGGUGGCGCAAGCUAUCGCGAAGAGAUGGACCCGCGGUGCAUUAGCUAGUUGGUAGGGUAAAGGCCUACCAAGGCGAUGAUGCAUAGCCGACCUGAGAGGGUGAUCGGCCACAUUGGGACUGAGACACGGCCCAAACUCCUACGGGAGGCAGCAGUAGGGAAUCUUCCGCAAUGGACGCAAGUCUGACGGAGCAACGCCGCGUGAGUGAAGAAGGUCUUCGGAUCGUAAAGCUCUGUUGUUAGAGAAGAACAGCGCAUAGAGUAACUGCUAUGCGUGUGACGGUAUCUAACCAGAAAGCCACGGCUAACUACGUG